This 29-nucleotide small RNA is filed under the name Bombyx mori (domestic silkworm). RNAcentral's name for it is "ovarian small RNA-16694". The record is from RNAcentral. Lineage: Eukaryota; Metazoa; Arthropoda; Insecta; Lepidoptera; Bombycidae.
GCCGCAGCAGUAGCUUUACGUAAUUCAUC